AUGGUCAGUGCCAAGAGAAUUGCUCAACUAGCAAAGAAGUGGCAAAGGGUAGCAUACCUCAGCAGGAAGCAGCUUACCAUGACGGCGACAAAAGAAGCCGAAGGGUGCUCAAUGGCAGUGGCAGGCAAGAGCCACUGUGUCAUGUACACAACUGAUGACGAGAGGCGGUUUGAGGUGCCAUUGGCGUACCUUGGCACGAUGAUCUUCAGAGAGCUCAUCCAUAUGUCUCAGGAGGAGUUUGGUCUUGUAAGCGGUGAUGGCAGAAUGAUGUUGCCCUGUGAUGCCACGGUGACGGAAUACAUUAUGAGCUUGCUUGGAAGAAAUGCUUCAGUGGAGGUUGAGAAGGCAUUCUUGAGCUCCAUGGCGAUGCCAUGCCACCAUACAAGCUGCGUAGCACCAUCUCCGGGUGUUAACCAACAAAUGGCUGUUUGCGGCUCCUAG
RNAcentral lists this ribosomal RNA (441 nucleotides) under Triticum aestivum (bread wheat). Its description in RNAcentral is "partial small subunit ribosomal RNA". Lineage: Eukaryota; Viridiplantae; Streptophyta; Magnoliopsida; Poales; Poaceae. The record is from RNAcentral.